GCCCCUACAAAAGAUUGCACAAUUAAAAGUAGAUUAAAAUGAUUAAUAAAAAUCAGUGAAAAAAUCCCUAGAUAACUUAAACCCUACAAAUAACAGAGGCCAUGAUUAUUUUUCUUUUAUGAUAGCAUACCUUAUAUACAUUUAAACACAUGCCUACUCAAGGACUUACAUAUAGGAGUGGGCUUGGUUUGGUUAGGGGUUUGGGAAACCCCAGAACCGAACCAAACCUUGGUUCUUUUUUUUCCUCCCCCUCAAAACCAGAACCAAAGGUA
Molecule: unclassified non-coding RNA, 272 nt
Filed under: Hevea brasiliensis (rubber tree)
Lineage: Eukaryota; Viridiplantae; Streptophyta; Magnoliopsida; Malpighiales; Euphorbiaceae
Source: RNAcentral